This is a long non-coding RNA of Archocentrus centrarchus (flier cichlid), 339 nucleotides long. RefSeq lists it as uncharacterized. The record is from RefSeq and is a predicted model, not a curated record. NCBI's taxonomy places the organism in Eukaryota, Metazoa, Chordata, Actinopteri, Cichliformes, Cichlidae. The transcript is spliced from 4 exons.
CUGGCAGCCAUGUUGGUUAAGAAGUGGACUGUACAUUAUCAAUUGCAGUUUUUUAGAAGCCAAGCUGCAGUCAACACACAGAAGCAAAAGGUCCUCAUGUAAUUCACAAGGCUGAUGGACCUCAGUUCAUUCUAUGAGCAUCUGGACAGCCGUCUAUUCAGUGGUUCAGGUCAAAUGAGGGGGUUAAAGAAAUUACAUCCAUACUGGAACGUCUUCACAAGGAUGCAUCGAAUCAAAGACAGUUGGGCAGCAGUGUUGCAGGGCCUACCAGGGUACAUGAGGAAGAAUCCUGCAUUCCUGAAGAUGUGUGAGGUAAGAGUUUAUCAUUCAAAAACAGAC